GUGGUCAUAAACCUUGUGUCAAAAUUUCAUAGAUUUCAAUUUACUUAAACUAAAGUUAUAGUGCGAAAACCAAGAAAAUGCUUAUUUGGGCCCUUUUUGGCCCCUAAUUCCUAAAAUGUUGGAACCAAAACUCCCAAAAUCAAUCCCAACCUUCCUUUUGUGGUCAUAAACCUUGUGUUAAAAUUUCAUAGAUUUCUAUUCACUUUUACUAAAGUUAGAGUGCGAAAACUAAAAGUAUUCGGACGACGACGCAAGACGACGCAAGACGACGCAGGACGACGACGCCAACGUGAUAGCAAUAUACGACGAAAAAUUAAAAUUUUUGCGGUCGUAUAAAAAUGA
RNAcentral lists this long non-coding RNA (342 nucleotides) under Mytilus galloprovincialis (Mediterranean mussel). Lineage: Eukaryota; Metazoa; Mollusca; Bivalvia; Mytilida; Mytilidae. The record is from RNAcentral.